RNAcentral lists this ribosomal RNA (497 nucleotides) under uncultured bacterium. RNAcentral describes it as "partial 16S ribosomal RNA". It matches the Rfam family "Bacterial small subunit ribosomal RNA", at positions 28 to 507 of the family's 1533-position model. The record is from RNAcentral.
GAUGAACGCUGGCGGCGUGCCUAAUACAUGCAAGUCGAGCGAACGGACGAGAAGCUUGCUCCCCUGCUGUUAGCGGCGGACGGGCGAGUAACACGUGGAUAACCUACCUAUAAGACUGGGAUAACUUCGGGAAACAGCAGAUAAUACCGGAUAAUAUUUCGAACCGCAUGGAUCAAAAGUGAAAGACGGUCUUGCUGUCACUUAUAGAUGGAUCCGCGCUGCAUUAGCUAGUUGGUAAGGUAACGGCUUACCAAGGCAACGAUGCAUAGCCGACCUGAGAGGGUGAUCAGCCACACUGGAACUGAGACACGGUCCAGACUCCUACGGGAGGCAGCAGUAGGGAAUCUUCCGCAAUGGGCGAAAGCCUGACGGAGCAACGCCGCGUGAGUGAUGAAGGUCUUCGGAUCGUAAAACUCUGUUAUUAGGGAAGAACAUAUGUGUAAGUAACUGUGCACAUCUUGACGGUACCUAAUCAGAAAGCCACGGCUAACUACGUG